UACGGAGGGUGCGAGCGUUGUCCGGAAUCACUGGGCGUAAAGGGCGCGUAGGCGGCCUGAUAAGUAGGGGGUGAAAUCCUGCGGCUUAACCGCAGGGCUGCCUUCUAAACUGUUAGGCUAGAGCACGGUAGAGGCAGAUGGAAUUCCCGGUGUAGCGGUGGAAUGCGUAGAGAUCGGGAAGAACAUCAGUGGCGAAGGCGGUCUGCUGGGCCGUUGCUGACGCUGAGGCGCGACAGCGUGGGGAGCAAACAGGA
Molecule: ribosomal RNA, 254 nt
Filed under: uncultured prokaryote
Description: partial 16S ribosomal RNA
Rfam family: Bacterial small subunit ribosomal RNA
Source: RNAcentral